UGGAACCAAAGAAACAAUAUGGGAACCUGAGGAGUUGAUUCGUCAACAAUAUCCUCACUUGUUUUGAUAAGGUAAGUUAAAAUUCGAGCACGAAUUUUUUUAAGGGAGAGAGAUUUGUCAUAUCCCAAAAAUAGUGUUAGAAGAAAUAAUGAUAAAAUUUAGAUUUUAUUUUUUCAAGCAUAGGGUAAAGAACUUAGUAUGUCUUAAAAAUUAUUUUUUGUUAAGGAUAAAACAAGAAUAAGCUUGUUGUCAAUCAUAGGUCCCAAGUUUGAAACCCUUUGUACACCUUUCAACCAAAAUAUUUUAUUUUCUUAUUUUUAUCCCGUAAAAGUGCCGAAUUUUUCCAACUAUCCCAACCCAAAAAUUGUUUUUUCCUAAUUUAGUCCUUAAUUUAAACCAAUCCUAAUUCUACAUGAAUUCCUAAAACCUAUUUCAAUUAGGGAAAAAGAGUUUUAUAAAUAGUCAAUCUUUUAAAGCCCUAUAAAUUUUAUCUAGAGAUUUUUUCAAGAAAAACUCCUAUCGAAA
RNAcentral lists this long non-coding RNA (525 nucleotides) under Gossypium raimondii (Peruvian cotton). Its description in RNAcentral is "long non-coding RNA (GRAI_LNC004711)". The record is from RNAcentral. Lineage: Eukaryota; Viridiplantae; Streptophyta; Magnoliopsida; Malvales; Malvaceae.